UACGAUAAUAAUCAGAUACAUUAUCUUCUCAUUUUUAAUACAUGAAUUUGAUCUUAAUUUCAAUAUAAAGCUUCUUACGGUGAUUAUUAAAUAAACGUAUUUUUUAUUUAAUACGUAACGAACUUGAAUUUAUCGCCAGAAAAUUUCGUAGCUGAUCGUUUAUUUCGAACGUGCCAUUGUGUUUGCCUCUUUCUCUUUAUCGCAUUAUACAUACAUAUAUAUCUAUUUAUGUCAUGACGUCGAUCAGCAUCAUCAAGCGUCUGUAAUGAAAUUAUAGUCUAUGUAUAUAUUCAUUCAAUGAAAUUUAUGUACAGUAUUGAGAAACGUAUGCAAGAAAAAGUAAAAGUUAUUUCAUACUUGAACUAGUAAACGAAAAAAUAUGGCAUUUAGGUUAAUCCGCGUUACUAGACGUUGGUAGAAUGGGAGGCACGUUGUCCGUGUUUAAACGAAACUUUCAGCUUAAUGAAAUUUGAAUCUAAUUAGGUAGAAUGAAAAUUUAGUUUUAUUAAUUAUUUGAGUCAUAACCGGAAAGUAACGACGCAGUUUCACGGCGUUCACGCCGAUAUGCACGAGCUCACUCGUAAGUGCAGAGAUCGCGGAGAGGCAUGAACAAGGCUGAUCGCGUAUACAUAUUUCGAGGAAUAGGUGCGGCAAUUAUCGCUACACGUUAAUUUUUGGUGGCUUUAUAGAUGGCUGCAUUGGCGUAACCAGUCAAUGAUUGAUCGGCUGGAAAUCUCGGCAACGGUAUACCGGCCAGAAUUAACCCUUGAGAUACACUCCGUAUGUCUCACGGGCCCUUCAGUCACUUGAAAUUAUCGGCGAGCACGGUUCCUUUGGGCAAUCCUUGAAACUCCGGGGCACUUCACCGACAGCCCACGAGCGAGCAGCGACAACCUGCGACUAUGCGACAUCAGAGUGACGCGCGCGCGCGUGUGUGAGGUCCGCUGGAUGCUUUUUGCGUUUCACAGGUCUCGGCAUAUCUGCGGCAUACAAGCUGCGGCCCACGCACGAGCAUCCCUGCACCGUCUUCCUGCUGUUUGUUAAUCUGCGCUGGAAAUGAGCCUCCGUUGGGAAAAAUCCUGCCACACCAUCCACGGCGGACGUAGUCGCGAGUCACGUUCAAGUUUGUUUGCAACGGAAUAAACAGCCGCUGAUUGGUCGAAGAAGUAACAGAGAGAGCCGGUCUGCACGCGAGAUGCUCGACGUUGCCCCUUUUUGCCGCGGACUCUUCAUUUUGCAGUUGCGAUGACGAGCUUCCCCCGUAUUCCUCUCGGAGGCUCGCGGAAUUCCACCCUUCGAGAGGAGGAAAUCAAACGACGAUGCGAUGGAAUUUAUAUAUUCGUGGAUUUGCUGUAAUGCAGCGAUUGACAAGAGGAUCGUUUCACUACGUGACAUGGAACCGUGCAAGAUAUCGUGUCGGCGUCGUGGCAGAAUAGCGUCAGGAUCGUGAGACAAAAAUGAGUAAAUCGCUAGAAGAAGCUGAAGCGAGGCUUUUAUCCUCGAAUCUUAGCUUACUCGUCAAGGAAACAGUAGUCAUGACGCUGUUAACGAUCCGAUGUCAACCGCAUUAUCUUCGUCGAUGGACAAAGUGCACCGACUUCUCUUGCUUCCUGAACGUUGCAAUCGGCGUUCGUGGGAAAUUCCACUCUUCCCUUGCUCUACAUUGAUCGAGCUGUGGACGUACGCUUCGAAGAUGACUCGAACUCUCGGCUCUCUCUCUUUCCGCGUGUUGCGAAGUCGGCAAAACGCGGAGUCGUUUAACUUAAACGCAUUUUCGCUGCCGCGGUGAACGCGCGUCUCGCCUCGUGUCGGUCUCGACCGAGCUGCAAAUCUCCAGUCCGAUGGAACGACGCGCGACAGCAACGACGAGCCGAUUCCUCGCGGCAAAAUAAGGAAAAAUCGCGGAGUAAAAUUUGCUCGUUCUGUUCUCGGUCUUCGAGCAGAUCGGGUUCGCGAAUUUGUCAAGUACGCCAGAACGUGGCUAAUUGCGGACUGAGCGGCACCAAACGAUCGACAGGAGGUGGCUGUACGCGUGAAGAUAAGUGGAAAACGCGGAAUAAGAUUCUCCCGCGGGACGUUUCGUUCGCGAGAAAAAUAAAUCUGAAAAUUUAUAAUACGCGCGUACCGGCUCUCAUUUUUCUUGAAAGCGAAGCCCCUCAAACGGAAAAAUGUUAUUCCACAUUUUCGACUUGUUUUCCCACUCAGAACAAUCUCCUGUCCUGUUAAUUAUUCCCGCUCGGUCCAGAAUUAGCCACGUUCCAGUGUACUCGAUCAAUUUUCCAGCUCGAUUUCCUUCCAAAAAGUUAAGCCGAGGAUGACACCAAUUUCGUUCUAUAUUUUGUCCUCGUUUUUCCACAAGGGUUCGCGUCCUGCACGUUCUCUCGCGCCAUCGCGCACACGUAUGUGUGUUAUUUGGCUGGCAAAUUUCAAGUAUUCGUCGCGGUUGAAACUCGUUGGAUCUUGGCGAUAAUAUUUGCAAAUUGCACGGUGUUUAGAAUUUAGCGCCCUUUGUCGGCCCUCUGUGAGAACUUUAGCCGCCACUGCACUCCAAUUGAUUUAAUAAUUCUUGUUUACCGGUUGCUCGUGCAACUUCUUGCCCCUCUCUGUUCGUUUCUUUGUUCAUUUAUCUUUCAAUGGAGCGUACCAAUUUUGUAUUUCUUUUUUUUUUUUUUUCCUUUCUUCGUAGCCGAGUGUACCACCACGCAGCUUCUUCAAUUUAUCUAGACGCGCUCCUGGGAAUUCCUGUUCGCUCGUGUCAUACAUCCCAGCUGAGUAAUUCCAGCCAUUUCUCUAUAUUAUUCUAUCUAUAUCGUUUGCUAUAUUUUAAUUUCCAUAUCGCUCACCGUAUCGUCUUCUCUGCUGUUCCCUAAAUUUUCUACGUCGCCGCGCCAACUAGAGCGUCGCACAAAAUACAAGCAAAAUGGUCUUGUACCAUCAUGUUCCUCGUUUUUCGUGUAAUAAACUCAAGGAAAUUCGAGUGGGAAAAUCUUUUCGACGAAUGUUAGUCUACUGUGUUCUUUCGCAAAACGACAGCGGAGAUUCGAUGGAACGGAAGAAGAGAAUUCCAUGCAGACAGACAGAGAAACGAGGUAAAUGAAAAGCAUCGAAAAGGAAGGCUUCCGUUGGGAAGAACAGCGCAGCUGCAAACACGCAUUUUUGCACUUGCGAGGAAAGAUAUUAUCACGUUUAUGUAGUUGACUUUGAACCAUUCGUUUCCUUCCCUCUUCCACUUUCUUCCUCCCACUUAUCGUUUACGACAAACACGCUAACUAACAACGCGAACACCCUGUAUAUGUUAUUUACUCUCAGCUUAAUGUUACUACAUCGCGUGCCAUUAAGAAUCUGCAAAAUUAUAACGGGCGUUCCAAGAAUACAUACGCAACGAUAUGAAAUGUUCAAUGAAAAAUGUAUCUUGCCGCUAACCAAGUGAAAUCGUUGGAAAUACUCUUUCCAUCGCUAUCGUCUUGCGGUUGUAUUGUUACUCCAGCUCAUGUUCAUCCAUAUACACGAUAUAUUAUUAUUUCGUUACGCUAUGUUCGCGUCUAACGUGUCUUAUAAAGCUACGUUAACUGUCCGCAGGAUAAGAAAAUGUAUAGCAGGAAGAGAGAACCUUCUCGCGGUAAACGACAAGUCCAAGUGCACGAUAAAUCAUUAUUAUUAUUAUUAUUAUCGUCAUAACAGUCAUCGUCAUACGUUCGACUAUUUAAAUAAUUCGUUAGACAUCGCCGAAAUUUAAUUCGCGACCCGAGUCCUUAAACGAGAUUUCGCGAUCGGACAGGUACGAACUUCUGUAGAAUCGAAAAGGAAUCUAAUCUACCGGGUGGAACGAUCAGGCAAUCGAUUUUUUAUUUCCCAUUACGAUACCGCCACGCUCGUAAUUUUCGUCGGCGCGAUUUAAAGCGGACGCGAUGCCGGUGGUCGAUAUAAGAAUAUCGAAGCGUGGCGUAUUAUCUCGGGUCGGAAGUUGGAGAGAGACAGAGUCGAUAUCGGAUCGCUGUGCAAUAUUGAAAUUAAUCUUGAUACUUGGCGAAUAAAAACAGGCUAUCGUAGAGUAAGGCGCUGUUGUAUAACGCGUUGUUGCGCCUACAACGAUAUCGAAAACGUACGUCCGGCGUAUUUGUCAACACGACAUAUUUUGUAUCGGUGCAUAUCGAGGACGAAAAAAAAGAGAUAGAGAGAGAGAGAGAAAAUAAAAAAAAAAAGGAAAGGGGGAAAAAUGUUUUACGAGCCGUAAAUAAACGCAGGCCCGUAGCCGCGCUUUUCACUGUUUUGAUUUUGAUAAAACGAGCCCCCGAAAAAUAUUAUAGAUCUUUGAUAACGCGUGCCGUGUCUGCUGUACGUAGAGAAGCAAAAAAUGAUGGCCAAUAAACGUUCUAGUCUCAUCUUGCAACGUGGAUAAAUCGUGCGAAACAUUGAAUAAUGUGAUAUCGCCAUUUUCCUUCCCCGUUUUUCUCUUUCUCUUUUUCACCGAUGCAAAUUAGCACGCGCAGAAGCGCGAUUAUUACAAUUUUUAAUCUCUUCGAUUCACCGCGAACGUCGCCAACGAACGAUUAUGCGCGUGUAACGGCGAAUAGUCGGUUUCUUUCAUUCUACGAUUAUUUAUUCUUUUCGUAUAAACAGCGUUCGAUAGUUUCGAUUAUUUGACCAAAGUGACUUUUUCUUUUCACGUUUGUAUCGCGCUUUUUCGACUGUCUCGUCCUACGUGGCCUGGCAACUAUUUAUUUGGAAAUAAACAAUGCGUGCUCCACGUGCAAACGUGCCUAUUUUUGUCUGUUCACGUCAUCGCCAAAGAAGAAGAGUUACCGAAAUACUUGGGUGGGAGGAUGAGGUGGAAGGACAGAAAGACAUUAGCAAGAUUCAGAUGUGGAAACGAGACCAAAGCGAGGAAAUACUGGAAAGAAGAGAAAGAGAAAGGAUGCAGGCUAUGCAAAAGGGAAGAAGAAGACCCGAGACGCGUAAUAGAAGAGUGCGAAAUAACGGGAGGACCAAAGGACAAGGAAAAAAUACUAAACGAGACUGGAGAAGAAAAGAACCAACGGAAUUAAAAACGAUAAUGGAGAAGAGAAAGGCAACACAAGACGGGGAGGAAAGACAAUAAGGAAGCGCAGCAAGGAGGCAGAAGCCCAAAAGUUGCCAUAGUUUUAGAGACAGUAUAAUUAAGGCAGUGCAAUGUAAUAGGGUGGAUAAGAGGGGGAGGUAGAAAUAGGUAAACGAGAUGUAAAACCGAAAGCUCGUCCAAAACCGAAAGACACGGACUAAACGAUAAUGAAUAAUAAAUAAUGUCUGUUCACGUCUGUAGUAUGGGCUGGUAGAAUGACACGCGAGGCGUACAAAAAUAGGAUAAACAAUAAUAUAGGAAAUAAAUAGACAAAGUGACACGAACAUAGAAAAUGUUAAUUUAUAAACAAAUAAUAUGCGCCUCGCGUGAAAAUGUUCCUAUUUAUAUGCUCACCCCCUGUAUGCAGUAGAAUGUACAUACGUGGCAUGGGCUAAGAGAAAGAUAUAGAAAACGUAGGAGAAUAGUGGAGGAUAUAACAUAGAAAAUAAUAGGAAAGAUAGAAAAUGUGAAUUUAGAAGUAAAUAAUACAUAUUUCGUAUGAAAAUGCUGCUGUCUGUAUGCUCACCUCUGUAUGUAGCAGAACGUACGUAUAUAACGUGGGCUAAUAGAAUGAUACAGAAAAUACAGAAGAAAAGUAUAGACAAUCAUAUAGGGAAUAAACAAACGAAAUGAUGGCAACAUGAAAACUGUUAGUCGGGAAACAAAUAACACGUACCUCGCGCAAAUUAUAUUUUCACCGCGGUACACGCAAAAUAUAGAAAAAGUGGCGUACGAAAUAACAUAACAAAUUGUGAAUUUGAAUUUAGAAAUAAAAUAUACCGCGCGUCUCGUGUGAAAAUAUCCCCGUGUGAUAAAAUUAUAUUUAACAAUAACUUGACAAUAAACUGUGCUUGAGCCAACUAGAACGAUGUACAAAGCGUAGACAAACGAUAUUAAAAAAUGAUACACCAAGUAACUAAGUAAAAUUAGAGAAACAGGGAAAUUACGUUGACUUGGGAACCAACGAUACGUAUUUGACGCGACUGAUAUUUCCACCGAUUUUCCUGCCUACAAAUGAUAAUUCUUUUGCUCGGCCUCUUGCUUCCUCCAUCCAUCCCGCCAGUCGCCAGAGAAAAGAAAAUGUAACUGUAAUAGAAACAGAUCGCGCUAUUAAAAGAUUAUACGUCUGGUAGAUUGAUGAGCUUCUCUUGCCCAAGCUGAAAGUGAUUGUGCAAUUAAGGUUCGUAGGGGUGUUGGCGGCAAUCCCAUACGCGUGUUAAUGGGCUUCUGCUAAACAACCGAAAGGAGGCUCUCGAUACGAUCGCUUGGGCCCUGAUAAACGGGUAAACAAGUAGGUAAUGUCGACAGUAGUAUCGGCUCGGUGUGUGGUCAGACGCACGCGUGACUGCAGUUGCAUCGUGUUGCGCUAAUUCGAUGCGAGUAGAAAUUGAUCUCGGCGACUCUCGUUGAUCGAUCGCGCGACUAGAAAAAUCCCUAGUGUUCUUUGAUCUGUGACCAGCGACCGUAUCAUCCGCCACAGGGAAAUUAACAUUCGCCACGUAUCAUAGUCGUGCAACGAAAGAGGAGAUAUGUUUACGUGCGAUCGACGUAACGGCAAAGAUGCAGAAGGAAAGAUAAUAAUAAUCUUUCGGCUGCAGUGGUAUUUCCUCGUUGUGUGAAUCCGACUUUCGUCCAUCGCGAUCUUCAAAUUAGACGAUCGUUCGCCCUGAUAAUUCUACUUAUUUCUGUUUCACGUUGCGCUUGUUCACUCACUAUUUGCUUAUAAUUAACUGUCUAUCGAUACCGCUUAUUAAGUACCUAACGCGUAUUAUUAUAUCGUAGAUAAUUUGUAUCAGAUGUUGAUUCGUGUGUCUUGACUACUAUAGUAAUAACUACGUAUUGACAAAUAUAUAGUACGUGUUGGUAUAAAUGAAUCAGAAAUCUUUAAACAUUACACGCUAUGUAAUACACGGUCGAAUUGUCUUUUAUUGUUUUGUGGGUUCUUUUGUUCUAUAUUUGAACUUGACGAAGUAGAACGUAUUUGGAUUAAGACAGCACGUAAACGUACCAAAAUUGGACGGCAAUGCUUUUGAAUUGGUAGAACGCGGCGUUGUUCGCCAACUAUUCGCUUGCAGAGUUAUAAUUCUAUGCUUGUUGAUACUUUUCAAUGCCGCGGUAUCUGUAAAAUCUGCUUUUAUCUGUGAAAAACUCGGCCAGUUAAUUGAUCGCGGUUUAGAAUUCAAUCGGAGAUUAAAAGUAGCAAUAGUUAUGCAAUCGUGCGAUAGAAGAGUUCAAUAUAUGAUAAUAAUAAUAUAACAAGUAUCGUUGAGAGAGAAUCCUCUCUGAUCAUAAUCAUUUUUUCUGUCGAUCAACAACGAUUUGUCAAUUUCGAUAUACAAAUACGUCUGACGAAAUCUCAUCAACAUGAAUUAUGCGCGCGUAUAUAGCAGACGGAUGUUUUCGAAACAAAUCCGCGUUGAUUGUGAUCAUCUGGCGUGUCUCGAAUGAUUUUUCAUUUUCGAACGAACCUCAA
RNA transcript from Bombus pyrosoma, 7571 nucleotides. It is a transcript of the gene named chromatin modification-related protein EAF1-like, with no coding region annotated. The transcript is spliced from 9 exons. Lineage: Eukaryota; Metazoa; Arthropoda; Insecta; Hymenoptera; Apidae. The record is from RefSeq and is a predicted model, not a curated record.